This is a long non-coding RNA of Entelurus aequoreus (snake pipefish), 922 nucleotides long. RefSeq lists it as uncharacterized. The transcript has 5 exons. The record is from RefSeq and is a predicted model, not a curated record. NCBI's taxonomy places the organism in Eukaryota, Metazoa, Chordata, Actinopteri, Syngnathiformes, Syngnathidae.
AAUUGUUCAGAGCCAUGGUGAGUGACAGAAAUGGGCUAUACAUCAACAGGUACCGUGAAAAAUUGAGGACAGUUCUGAAUCUACCACACAACAAGCCCACCAGUGUCAUGGAUCAUCUACUGAUCAUCAUCAUCAUCAGCCGUUGUCAGUCCACUGCUGGACGAAAGCCUCAGCAUGUUUCUGCCAUAGUGAACGAUCUCUUGGCAUACUCUUCAUGCUGUCCCCAAAACUCAACACAGAAGUGGAGUCUGUGGAACAUGAUCAUCAAAACAUUUUUUUUUUUCUAGAGUCACAAAAAUCAUUGUAAUGUAUGCAAUACCUGGAGACGGCAAGAGGUUUAAAAACUUUAAAAUCAUCCUACAUUUUGAACUUUUACACAAACAGAAUGAAUAUUACAUGCAUUGCUUUUUGAGUUAAAACUUAAGCACUACACAAGUUGAACAUUUAAUAUGAAUUUUAUUAUUCAGGUUUUCUAUUAUCCUAUAUAAUUACACACCCAGAAAAACAGGUACAAUAUGCACUAUUGAUUUUCCCAGACUUCUUCUCAAUAGCAACCCACAACUUAUGGGGAGCGCAGUGAACAUUCAUGUAAGGCAUACACUCAGCCUUAAGGUCUCAAAACUGGCUUUCAUUGCUGAUAGGAUUCCUUCAUCCAACCUGCAAGGAAUAGUCAUACAUUUAGUAUAAUGGUGUGUAAUGUGUUCAACAUCAUAAGUAGGGGUGUGGAGCGGGGUGUGGCCUGCGAGCCUGCAGCGAAGCGGGGUGUGCCAGGACCGGCCUCAAAGUCAGCGACAGCAGCCGAGAGAAGAGGCGUUGUUGGAGCUGGGGGAGAUCGAGAGCAGGACGAAAAAUUACAAAAAGACGAUUGCUGAAAAGCACUGAGAGACUUGAUUGAAAAAAUAAAACUGUCUUGUAACCAUGA